GACGAACGCUGGCGGCGUGCCUAAUACAUGCAAGUAGAACGCAGUUGCGAACGGGUGAGUAACGCGUAGGUAACUGCCUGGUAGCGGGGGAUAACUAUUGGGAACGAAAGCUAAUACCGCAUACUACCAGAUGGACCUGCGUUGUAUUAGCUAGUUGGUGGGGUAACGGCUCACCAAGGCAACGAUACAUAGCCGGCCUUGGAGGGUGGUCGGGCCAACUGGGAAUGGGACACGGCCCAGAAUCCUACGGGAGGCAGCAGGAGGGAAUCUUCGGCAAUUGGGGGAAACCUGACCGGGCAACGCCGCGGGAGUGAAGAAGGUUUUCGGAUCGUAAAGCUCUGUUGUUAAGGAAGCGGUACUUAACCAGAAAGGGACGGCUAACUACGUGCCAGCAGCCGCGGUAAUAC
Molecule: ribosomal RNA, 407 nt
Filed under: uncultured bacterium
Lineage: Bacteria
Description: partial 16S ribosomal RNA
Rfam family: Bacterial small subunit ribosomal RNA
Source: RNAcentral